Long non-coding RNA from Benincasa hispida (wax gourd), 3883 nucleotides. RefSeq lists it as uncharacterized. The record is from RefSeq and is a predicted model, not a curated record. NCBI's taxonomy places the organism in Eukaryota, Viridiplantae, Streptophyta, Magnoliopsida, Cucurbitales, Cucurbitaceae.
AAAGAUAGAAAAGAAAAGAAGACUCUUUUUCUUUUUAGAUUAAAAUUUCCUCCAUUGUUGCUCUGCUUCUCUCUCUGAUAUUGAUCUAACAUUCUAACUCUCUCUCUCAACCUCAGUCUUGAACUUGAAUAAUUUUUUCUCAUCUGAUCUCAACCUUUCAAGACAAUCUGCUGUUGCUAAUUAGACUCUUAAGGAUUUGAGCUCGGGGACGAUGAUUUACACUGCCCGGCACGAUAGGGGACUCUACUUCCUGACAGAUGAUGCUUCCUCUAGGAAUGAUUAUAGAACUAGCCUUGUCUCUUUAAAUUUUUAUAUUUCUGAGAAUGAUUUUCUGUUAUGGCAUUACCGCUUAGGACAUCCAAACUUUUAAUACAUAAAAUUCUUAGUUCCGCAUUUAUUUCGCAAUAUUAAUAUGUCUUCUUUAAAUUGUGAUGUGUGUAUUCGUACCAAACAGUGUCGUGUCUCCUUCCAUUCCCAGCCCUGUAAACCAUCCAAACCCUUCACCUUAGUUCAUAGUGAUGUUUGGGGUCUCUCACCAACCAUUACCUCCACAGGAAAACGUUGGUUUGUCACUUUUAUAGAUGACCACACUAGGCUUACUUGGGUAUUUCUUCUAACUGAUAAGUCCGAAGUGUUAUCUGUAUUCCAGAAAUUCUAUACCACUAUGGGAACCCAAUUUAGUGCCAGGAUUGGUAUUUUGAGAAGUGACAAUGGGUGGGAAUUUUUAACACUUCCUUCCAGGAGUUCCUUGUAUUCAAAGGGAUUUUCCACCAAAGUUCGCGUGCCUACACUCCCCAACAAAACGGGGUAACCGAAAGAAAAAAUCAUCAUUUGGUGGAAAUUGCCAGGUCCUUGAUGCUAUCCACAUCACUCCCAUCUUACCUAUGGAGUGAUGCCAUCCUUACUGCUGCUCACUUAAUCAACCGAAUGCCUUCCCGAGUCCUCAACUUUCAAAACCCAUUAGACAGUUUGAAAGAGUUAUACCCCACUAUUCGUUUAGUCUCCGAUGUACCACUUCGGGUUUUUGGCUGUAUUACUUUUGUUUACUCCCAUGGUCAAAACCGCAUGAAAUUCACCCCCCGUACUAAAAAAUGCGUCUUUGUUGGGUAUCCACUUCAUCAACAUGAGUAUAAAUGUUACCACCCAUCGUCUCGCAAGUAUUUUGUUUCUAUGGAUAUCACCUUCCUUGAGGAUCAGCCCUUCUUCCCUGUUAGCCAUCUUCAGGGAGAGACAUCUAGUGAAGAGACUAACUAGUCCACUUAUACAGUUCCCUUGGAGUUCCCGAACAUGUCGGUCCUAUCCUCCCUACCAAUCAAGUCCCAUGGAUAACAUACUAUAGGAAGAAUCUCAUGAAGGAAGUAGCGUCACCUGUUGCAUCUUCGGCUCCAGUCCAUGAGUCAAACCCGACAUCAGGUACGUGUAUUCCUGAAAUUAAUGAGAUUGAUACUUGCACUGAGACUAACGAGAGGAAAAGGGGGGAAAAGGUGCUGAUAACACCACUAUAGCAGAUGGGAAGACUACAGAAAAUAAUGUUUCGAACACAACUCUAGAAAAUGUGAGUGAUACUAGAGAUAAUCGUGAAAAGGUGAUAUCUGAAGAUGAAAACCAGGCAAAGGAGACUAGGGAUCACAGUGAAAAUUCUAACAGACUGAAGGAGCAUGAUGCUUCUCUUGAUCUUCCAAUUGCCCUAAAGAAAGGUAUUAGGUCAUGUACAAGGUACCCUAUGCAUAGUUACAUGACCUAUAGUAACCUGUCAUCUGAAUUUAGGGCGUUUACCACCAGUUUAGAUACAGGGGUGAUAUCGAGUAACAUACAGGAAGCAAUAGGAACUAAAGUUUGGAAGGUUGCUGUUAUGGAGGAGAUAAGGGCUUUUGAGAAAAAUGGAACAUGGGACCAGGUGAUCCUACACAAAGGGCACAAGAAAGUUGGAUGCAAAUGGGUUUUCACUAUAAAAUACAAGUCGGACGUGACUGUUGAUCGGUACAAGGCCAGACUAGUUGCCGAAGGGUUUACCCAAACCUUUGGGGUAGAUUACUCCGAGACAAUUCUCUCUCAGGGCUAAACUCAAUACUAUCCGAGUUUUGCUAUCAGUUGCAGUUAAUAGAGAUUGGCCUCUGCAUCAACUGGAUGUAAAAAAUGCCUUUCUCAAUGAAGAACUUGAGGUGGAAGUCUACAUGAAUCCUCCCCCCGGAUUUGAAGAUUAGUUCAAACAGCGAGUUUAUUGGCUGAGAAAGUUGUUAUAUGGGUUGAAACAAUCUCCGAGAGCCUGGUUUGACAUAUUUGCCACCUUUGUCAAAGGACAAAGGUAUACCCAAGGGAAUUCAGAUCACAGACUAUUUACAAAGAAGUCAACUUCAGGGAAGGUUUUCGUUCUCAUUAUGUAUGUUGGCGAUAUUGUGCUCUCCGGUGAUGACGAUGAUGAAAUUGUGAAACUCAAAGCGAAGAUGGCCAAAGAGUUUGAAAUUAAAGACCUUGGGAAGUUAAGAUACUUUCUUGGAAUGGAAGUAGCCCGGUCAAGGGACAGAAUCUCAAUGUCCCAACGGAAAUACACGAUUGAUCUUCUAACGGAAACAGGAAUGACUGGGUGCAAAUCUGCUGACAGCCCAAUUGAAUAUAAUUCAAAGCUCAGCAAUACCAGUAACAAUGUCCCGGUCAAUAAAGAAAGGUAUCAGCGGUUAGUUGGAAAAUUGAUAUACUUAUCUCAUACACCUGAUAUUUCAUAUGCAGUGAGUGUUGUCAGUUAGUUUAUGCAGGCUCCUUGUGAGGAACACAUGACAGCAGUUGAAUGCAUUCUAUGAUAUCUGAAAGGUACACCAGGUAAGGGGUUAAUGUUCAAGAAGUCUGAUAAAUGCUGCAUUGAAGCCUACACUGAUUCUAAUUAGGCAGGGUCUAUUGUUGAUAGAAAAUCAACAUCAAGGUAUUGCACAUUUGUUUGGGGUAAUCUAGUGACUUGGAAGAGCAAGAAACAGAGAGUUGUGACCAAAAGUAGUGCGGAAGCUGAGUAUCGAGCCAUGAGUUUAGGGAUAUGUGAAGAAAUCUAGUUGAUGAAAGUGUUGUUAGAUCUUCAUCAAGACAAUGAGCUCCCAAUGAAACUAUUUUGUAACAAUAAGGCAGCAAUAAGUAUUGCAAAUAAUCUUGUUCAGCUUGAUAGAACAAAACACGUUGAGAUCGACCGACACUUCAUCAAGGAAUGACUUGACAACGGAAGUAUAUGCAUUCCUUAUGUUCCCUCAAAUCAGCAAAUUGCAGAUGUGCUCACAAAAAAGUUACUGAGACUAAGCUUUGAUUAUUGUAUCAGCAAGUUGGGCCUUAUUGAUAUUUAAGCCCCAACUUGAGGGGAGUGUCGAAAAAACAACUUGUAACCCUAGGGGUAUUUUAGUAAUUGUAUGUACCCUAGGGCUUUCCACUAGUCUAUUUAUUUGGCCUAUUCUCUUGUACUUUGUGUACCAGAAUUAAUAAUAAAAAACAAUAUCUAUCGUAGUUUUUUCUCCCUGUUUUAGGAUUUUCCACGUAAAUCUUGUGUUCCUUUCUUCCUCUUUUUUCGGCAUAUAUAUAUAUAUAUAAGCAACAAAUAUUUGGUCAUGUCAAAUUAAGUAACAAAACAGAAGCUAAAUCCAAAAGCAAAGAUUUGGUCAAGUCAAAUCUUAAAUAUUUUGAUAAUUAAGCAACAAAACAGAAAGACCAGAGGAGCAUUAUGUUUUACAAAUAUGCUUCAAUGUUGAAGUGCAAGAGGAAGUGUCGAGAGGCUUGUACUAACCAGGUAAGGCAAUAAAAGCAUUUGAAUGCAUGAGGCAUCUAUUCAAUAAGAUAUAUAAAACAACAACAAGCACUCAGACCAACGUAGCUAAGUACUUCUCAACAUCAAUAAAAAAAAAAAAAAAAA